RNAcentral lists this ribosomal RNA (301 nucleotides) under uncultured bacterium. RNAcentral describes it as "partial 16S ribosomal RNA". It matches the Rfam family "Bacterial small subunit ribosomal RNA", at positions 509 to 807 of the family's 1533-position model. The record is from RNAcentral.
CAGCCGCCGCGGUAAUACAGAGGGUGCAAGCGUUAAUCGGAAUUACUGGGCGUAAAGCGUGCGCAGGCGGUUAUAUAAGACAGAUGUGAAAUCCCCGGGCUCAACCUGGGAACUGCAUUUGUGACUGUAUAGCUAGAGUACGGCAGAGGGGGAUGGAAUUCCGCGUGUAGCAGUGAAAUGCGUAGAUAUGCGGAGGAACACCGAUGGCGAAGGCAAUCCCCUGGGCCUGUACUGACGCUCAUGCACGAAAGCGUGGGGAGCAAACAGGAUUAGAUACCCGUGUAGUCCCUGUCUCUUAUAC